This 488-nucleotide ribosomal RNA is filed under the name uncultured bacterium. Its description in RNAcentral is "bacterial SSU rRNA". It matches the Rfam family "Bacterial small subunit ribosomal RNA", at positions 28 to 507 of the family's 1533-position model. The record is from RNAcentral.
GAUGAACGCUAGCGGGAGGCUUAACACAUGCAAGUCGAGGGGCAGCACGAGAUAGCAAUAUUUUGGUGGCGACCGGCGCACGGGUGAGUAACACGUAUGCAACCUACCUCGUACAGGGGGAUAACCCGGAGAAAUUCGGACUAAUAUCCCAUAAUAAUAUUGAAAGGCAUCUUUUAAUAUUUAAAGCUCAGGCGGUACGGGAUGGGCAUGCGGAACAUUAGCUAGUUGGUAGGGUAACGGCCUACCAAGGCUGCGAUGUUUAGGGGACCUGAGAGGGUUAUCCCCCACACUGGUACUGAGACACGGACCAGACUCCUACGGGAGGCAGCAGUGAGGAAUAUUGGUCAAUGGGCGCAAGCCCUGAACCAGCCCAUCCCGCGUGAAGGAAGAAGGCGCUAUGCGUCGUAAACUUCUUUUCCAGGGGGAGAAUUUUCCGGUCGUGACCGGAAUUGACGGUACUCUGGGAAUAAGCAUCGGCUAACUCCGUG